UUACGACGAUACAGUAUCCAGACGAAAAUACAGUAAAUAUCUCAUGUUGGAACACUUCUCUAAUACAAAUACAGAACAUAAGUGUACAAGUAGAGGAAACGACCUGUGGUCCAAAUCCAUGUGUUUUGAAUUAUAAUGAUACACAGACUGUAGAAGAUAGUUGUGACGGUCGUAAUUCCUGUCUGAUGGAUUACAAUUUUACAUCAGCCUGUUUACGGGAGUUUAAAUACAUAAGUCUGUCGUACACUUGUAAACACGAGAACGGUACAAGCGUAAGUACUUUUGAGGCAGAUUUUGGAGAUUGGAUGGUAGAUUCAUCAAAUGGUACUAAAUGGAAACGUAACGCUCUUGUGAAAGAUCACACCCUAGUACACUUAAAUAAGAAUGGUUAUAGCAUUUAUGCGUUUUCCUAUUCUGGUAUAGCUGGUACAAUACGUAUUGAUACAGAUAAAGAAUUCGUGGAACCAAUAUGUUUGUCACUUUGGUAUCAAUUGUAUGCCAAUUCUUUUGAUUGCCUUUUUAGUAUAUACAAGAUUACUGACGGAAAUCAGACUUUACUAUUUACUGUGGAUGGCAAUUCUACAUCUUUAAGUCAAUGGAUCAAUAUAUCGGUAGAUGUAUAUGGACAAGAUCCGUUUAAGAUAGUAUUGGAAGCAGACUUUAAACAACGUUAUGCAAUAGCAGCACGUGCUGUUUUAAUAGAUGAUACAUCGAUAGCGUAUAGGCCAUGUGAAGGUCAACAAGUGCAUUCAACCUGCCUCGAUUUGAACGAACCAAUUGAAAUAGACUGUGAAAAACAAUUCCUUGUCGGUGACAUUAGAGCUGUACUCGAACCCGAAAAUCCGACCAAUCAUCUGAAAAAGUGUCCCGCAGAAUCUAUUGGAAAUGAGAUAAAUAGCUUUUGUAGAAACUUGACGGAGACGGACAAAUGUCAAUUCAGCGUAUUGAAUUUUAUGAACGGAAAUGAAGAAUGUUACGUCUCCAACAAGAACAUUUCUGUUUUGUUUCAAU
Long non-coding RNA from Mytilus californianus (California mussel), 1011 nucleotides. RefSeq lists it as uncharacterized. The record is from RefSeq and is a predicted model, not a curated record. The transcript is spliced from 4 exons. NCBI's taxonomy places the organism in Eukaryota, Metazoa, Mollusca, Bivalvia, Mytilida, Mytilidae.